Molecule: ribosomal RNA, 974 nt
Filed under: metagenome
Description: bacterial LSU rRNA
Rfam family: Bacterial large subunit ribosomal RNA
Source: RNAcentral
CCUAAGGUAGCGAAAUUCCUUGUCGGGUAAGUUCCGACCCGCACGAAAGGCGUAAUGAUUUGAGCGCUGUCUCGACAAUGCACCCGGUGAAAUUGAAAUACCAGUGAAGAUGCUGGUUACCUGCGCCAGGACGGAAAGACCCCAUGGAGCUUUACUCCAGCUUGAUACUGGGAUUCGGUUAUACAUGUACAGGAUAGGUGGGAGGCUAAGAAGUGAGGACGCCAGUCUUCACGGAGCCGCUGUUGGGAUACCACCCUUGUGUGACUGGGUUUCUAACCUGCAGCCGUGACCCGGCUGGGGGACAAUGUCAGGUGGGGAGUUUGACUGGGGCGGUCGCCUCCGAAAGGGUAUCGGAGGCGCUCAAAGGUUCCCUCAGAAUGGUUGGAAACCAUUCGAAGAGUGCAAAGGCAGAAGGGAGCUUGACUGCGACACCGACGGGUGGAGCAGGUACGAAAGUAGGACUUAGUGAUCCGGUGGUAUAAAGUGGGAUUGCCAUCGCUCAACGGAUAAAAGCUACCCUGGGGAUAACAGGCUUAUCACUCCCAAGAGUUCACAUCGACGGAGUGGUUUGGCACCUCGAUGUCGGCUCAUCGCAUCCUGGGGCUGAAGUAGGUCCCAAGGGUUGGGCUGUUCGCCCAUUAAAGCGGUACGCGAGCUGGGUUCAGAACGUCGUGAGACAGUUCGGUCCCUAUCCGUCGCGGGCGUAGGAAAUUUGAGAGGAGCUGUCCUUAGUACGAGAGGACCGGGAUGGACUGACCUCUGGUGUACCGGUUGCACUGCCAAGUGCAUAGCCGAGUAGCCAAGUCGGGACGGGAUAAACGCUGAAGGCAUCUAAGCGUGAAGCCCCCCUCAAGAUGAGAUAUCCCAUACGCAAGUAGUAAGACCCCUUGAAGACGACGAGGUAGAUAGGGCAGAGGUGGAAGUGUGGUAACACAUGGAGCUGACUGUUACUAAUCGAUCGAGGGCUUGACCAA